CAAGUCACUGCUACAGGCAGAAGGAAACACCUCCAAGAUGUAGAAGAGACCCUGUCUCAUGUCACACACUGGGUAGUCCAUCCUUGACUGUGAGGGAUUGUGAGACCUUCCCAGCAGAGCCCAGCCAGCCUGGACAUGUGCUCUGUGCCAACAUGACAUGGCUUGACAAGUGUCUGCACUGGACUAUAGUACUGCCACUAUACAACUCUGCAGGACUUUGCUUUUAUAACCCUCCACCAACCUCCAACUUAUGGGUGAGCUGUGCUGAGAUCACCAUGCAGGCACAUUUCUGAUCCAACCAGUUCUGGAGCUGAAGUUACCAAAAAGGGCAGACCAGCUUACUUUCACCUCUUGAGCAAGUGAGAGACAUAGGAAGAAAAAGCUUCCUCAAGAUAACAGCAGAAGCUUGAGUACGUGCACUCAGUGGAUCAAAACAUGAAGCUUAGCUGACAGCAUUUCCUUCUCCAUCCACAACACUGGUAUCCUCUGCCUGAUAUUUCCAAGGAGGAACAGUUCUCUGGUGGGAACUUCAAGAGCUCUGAGCAGGGGGAUCACCCCUUUCCUCAGUCUGCCACUGCAGCCCAGCCAGCCUGCACACUGUGGGGCACUGCCCGUGCCCAUUGCUGCCCUGCCCAGACUUGCUGAGGGUGCACUGUGUCCCACUGCCCAGGCCACUGGGAAGGGUGCUCUGUUCCAGGAGCUUCCUCUGAGAAAUGUCACGCAAGACUUGUUGCUAGCCAGGCUGUGAGUUUCUCCUGAGCAUCUCUUGGAGUUUCUCAGCCUACCCUGUGGUUCACAAAGCCUGUCCACAUUUUUAGUUUGUUUGCAAGAGUUCUGCACAUCAAAAACCUUGAAAAUUUCAAGGUAUACUUUACUAUUCUUAAUCUUGACAUUUGUUCUUUUAUACAUUUUUACUUUUAAAAACACCUGAAUACUUAAAAAUGCAAAUUAAGCUUACUUGGGAAAAUAAAAAAUAAAAGCUAGUUCA
This 988-nucleotide long non-coding RNA is filed under the name Cyanistes caeruleus (blue tit). RNAcentral describes it as "lncRNA (ENSCCEG00000016369.1)". The record is from RNAcentral. Lineage: Eukaryota; Metazoa; Chordata; Aves; Passeriformes; Paridae.